CUUCAAAUAGUUUUACUUCUGGUAUGUUUAGUUUGUCUCGCUUCAGUAAUUUAGCCAAGGUCGUUUGACUGAUGUUAUUGAAACUAUCAGAGGCUACCACUUCCCCUGCAUUAGACUCUAUAACAUUCCAACAUCGUUUUUCUAAUUCUUUCUCAUCAAAACGAGUCGCUUGCUUCAAAACAUCCAGCACAUUUUCAGGAUUUAAAAUUUCCAGCAGGAAGUCAACACAUUUCUCAUUGAGCGAAGGAAUUAUGUAUUUGUUUGCCAAAUACAUGGUGGCAACAACAUUGUCUGCGGUCAAUGUACAUUCCUCCGUGUAAAGAAAUCUCAAAAACUGCUCCAAACUUUCCUCGUCUAUAUUAAAGAAAUAAACAAUGGAAUCUUUCACAGCGAAGCCGCCAUAAAACAUGGCAUGAAAUACGGCGCUACUUGUGCUCAAGACAUAUUUAUGUGCAUAGAAUGUCUUGUCUGAACCUUCGCAAGUAAAGCUGAUGUCACUCAUGUCUGAAUUGUUGAACAUAUGACGGUUUCUUUCUAAGAUGGUGUUCUUUGUCGACUGCCAGUCCACAUUCGAUUGAACAGAGCGGGCCAUUUUCAAGAAUUGUAGAUGUGGAAUACUAUCGGGAGUACUUGAAUGCAAGAACAAGAAUUGUGCAAGACAAUCGCGGAAGUAUAUAGAUUAUAGAAUAAUUGAAAGCGAAACGUAAUUUGAUAUGCUUUAAGGCCGGAUUCCACGAGGCGGAA
Non-coding RNA from Paramuricea clavata, 744 nucleotides. The record is from the annotation of a GenBank genome assembly. Lineage: Eukaryota; Metazoa; Cnidaria; Anthozoa; Malacalcyonacea; Plexauridae.